GCCGGGUGCAGUGGUGCAUUCCUGUAAUCCCAGCACCUCGGGAGGCUGAGGCAGGAGGAUUUCAAGUUCAAGGUCUACCUUGGCAAUUUAAUGAGACUCUGUCUCAA
RNAcentral lists this small RNA (107 nucleotides) under Marmota monax (woodchuck). The record is from RNAcentral. Lineage: Eukaryota; Metazoa; Chordata; Mammalia; Rodentia; Sciuridae.